This 400-nucleotide ribosomal RNA is filed under the name uncultured bacterium. Its description in RNAcentral is "bacterial SSU rRNA". It matches the Rfam family "Bacterial small subunit ribosomal RNA", at positions 356 to 773 of the family's 1533-position model. The record is from RNAcentral.
GGGGAAUAUUGGACAAUGGGCGCAAGCCUGAUCCAGCCAUGCCGCGUGAGUGAUGAAGGCCCUAGGGUUGUAAAGCUCUUUCAACGGUGAAGAUAAUGACGGUAACCGUAGAAGAAGCCCCGGCUAACUUCGUGCCAGCAGCCGCGGUAAUACGAAGGGGGCUAGCGUUGUUCGGAAUUACUGGGCGUAAAGCGCGCGUAGGCGGAUCGGUCAGUUAGGGGUGAAAUCCCAGGGCUCAACCCUGGAACUGCCUUUAAUACUGCCGGUCUUGAGUCCGAGAGAGGUGAGUGGAAUUCCGAGUGUAGAGGUGAAAUUCGUAGAUAUUCGGAGGAACACCAGUGGCGAAGGCGGCUCACUGGCUCGGUACUGACGCUGAGGUGCGAAAGCGUGGGGAGCAAAC